ACGUGUGGUUGAGAAAACAAAUGCGCAAGGGGUGUGCGUAAACUAGCAGGCUCUUCCCCAGAGUCGGAUAGCUAAAAAUUUGAUUUUUGUGUGGUUAUACCUGUCCCAUUACAUAUCAGAACAUCUGGUAUGCUAUCUAAAUGGUCCACAAGACAGCACAGAGGGUAACCUUUCAUUUGAGACCAAGAUUAUGCUUCUACAUGUUUGGGUUCACUUUUGUUUACAGUAUGCAUUCUGGGUAGCCAAAGGUCUUUUUUGGAGUAUGCGUGUGUCUUCGUUUCCCCGAAAACACGUUACCCGCGCUGAGAGGUGCGGCUGAGAGUCAAACCGGUUCAGCUCACUUCCUCAUAAGUUUGUCGCAGCUUGGAGCCUUUCUUUCUCCGCUUUUUAAACCUUUCACCUGAUUAACUUUUAUAAGGUUAAAGGUUAAAGUGUUUUAUAAACACUUUAACCUCAGUUUCUUCCCUUACAUUUAUACUUUUAUUACUUUAUACCGUAUGGACGCAUUUUAAUCCCGGAAUAGAUACGAUAAGGUCUCCAGUCUACUAUGGAUGAGGAGAGAGAAGAGGGGGGUCCUACCUCUAAGACCACUCUGUCUGGGGAACAUGGCCGCCGGAGCAAAGCUAAGAGCCCAGAGAAGCAGGAGAGAGCAGCCUCCCCUGGACCCAGCUGUGUCUCCAUGAAGAGUGGCCACUCUAUGGAUCCACCUGUUAGUUUUAAAGAUGGAAAUCAGUCUAUCAAGAAGAGUAGAGUCCAGCAGGAGAGAGCAGACUCCCCUGGACCCAACUGUGUCUCCAUGAAGAGUGACUGGUCUAUGGAUAUACCUGUUACCUUUAAAGAUGGACGCCCCUCCAGAGAGGAGAGGUAGGGGUUCAAACAGACGAUGAAAACAGACCACUUGGUUGUUAUCAGUCUCUACUGAUACUGACUUCUACAAGUCUGGCGAAAUAGAAUUGUGUGUGUGUGUGUGUGUGUGUGUGUGUGUGUGUGUGUGUGUGUGUGUGUGUGUGUGUGUGUGUGUGUGUGUGUGUGUGU
Molecule: long non-coding RNA, 1035 nt
Organism: Gadus morhua (Atlantic cod)
Lineage: Eukaryota; Metazoa; Chordata; Actinopteri; Gadiformes; Gadidae
Exons: 4
Source: RefSeq, a predicted model, not a curated record